RNAcentral lists this long non-coding RNA (3026 nucleotides) under Brassica napus (rape). RNAcentral describes it as "long non-coding RNA (BNAP_LNC002898)". The record is from RNAcentral. Lineage: Eukaryota; Viridiplantae; Streptophyta; Magnoliopsida; Brassicales; Brassicaceae.
UGGACAAUGUGAUGACGAAAGGUGCAAAGUGUACAUGGGGAAACUUUGUAGGUCUCGUUAUAUUUCCUCUGUGGAUAAGAUCAGAAGAUGAUCCGUUAGAAUAUGUCCGACAAGCCAAAGCUACUAUGGAUAAGAAAAAACUUUCUUUAGAAGCAUUUAACUUUUACGGAGUCAUCAAACUCAAUAUGAAGUUUUUUGGAGAAAAGGUGAAGUAUAUAUGAUUGUAUAACUAUUUUACUCAUAUAUAAAUAAUUGUUUGAUUAUAAGAUACAUAUAUAACAGGUAGUACAAGCUAUUUCAAAGAGGUUAUUCGAUCAUACAACAUUGACAUAUUCAAAUAUGAUGGGUCCAGAUGAAGAAAUAAGUAUAUUUGACCAACCAAUAUCUUACCUCGCAGCAAGUGCAUUAACAGGAUCUCAAGUAAGUAUAGCUAUACUAUAUAAUCAUGCCCUACUUUUAUAUCACUUUGUUGUUACAUAAACUAUAAGAAACUUUUGAUGAAACUAUAUAGUUAAUAGAUGUUUAUGUGUUUGUUUUUUUUUAUUGGACAAGGUUCUCAAUAUCCAUUUUGUAAGUUAUGUAAACAAGCUUACUAUCAGUUUAGCGGUCGAUGCAACUGUGAUUCCAGAUCCUCACCGACUAUGUGAUGAUUUGGUAGAAUCUCUCAACAUCAUCAAAUCUACUGCUUUAGAGAAAUUUAGGAUCUCAUAAAAGAAAAGCUUGAGAUAAGUAUCUUUUUUUUGAAAGAAAAAGCUUGAGAUAAGUAUCACUGAUGUAUUUGAGUCUAUCUGUCAACUGUAAAAGUGAAGUUUUAUGUUUGAAAAGAGGAAACUAAAAUGUUAUUAUGAUUCUCUUCAUAUUCUUAAUUUCUUUUUGUACACUUCGAAAUAUUCCAAAGUGAUUUAUUAAUUAAUGUUUUGAAACGCUAUCAAAUAAAAACUUGAUAAGUAUGUAACAAGAUAAACACAUUUAAACAGUGGCAAUUGUGGCAGAUGUAUUAUAUAGUGAGCCGAAAGUAUGAAACCAUUUUGAUAAGGAUGAAAAAAAUCCAAGAACUGCCGAGAGAACUUCAAAAAGAAUGUUGUAAAUACAAUUAGUGAAAUUCUAAUAUUAAGACCUAGACGGAAGAUCAAAUAGUGAUGUAAGAAAAAAAUUGUGAUUAUAAAAUUUGAUUCCAUCUAGAAAGUUAAUCUGCAAACCCAACACAUGGUUAAGAUAGACUAAUCCAUUUUUAAAGCUUUUUAAAUAAGUACUAAGCUUAAGACACAUAUUGGAAAUUGUGUAAUGACUAUUCCAUAUGUUUCAAAAUGAUUUACUAUAUUUAAAAAAAUAACACAAUAAAAAAUUAAAAAUAUUUUAAAUUUGGAUUAUAAAUAUAUUAUUUUGUGAUAAUGUGUUUUCAUCAUUUUAAACUAUUAAAAUUUAAUAAAUACAAUUAUUUUUUAAAAAUUACAGUUUAUCAUUACUAUCUAAUAAAAUGUAUGGAAUAUAUAAAUAAAUGUAUUUCUAAAAAUAAUUUCCCCAAAAACAUGUAUGAUACAGUAGAGUAUUAAUUUGCUAAAUUUUUGGAUAUUUUUUUUUACUGAACCUACCUGAAUAACUAAGAAUUCAAAUGAUUAAGGGGGUGUUAGUGGAAGUAAGAUUAAUAUAGAGUUUGUUGAUUUUAAAAAUUGAGAGAUUUGUUAAAUUUGGAAAGAGUUGUAGAGAGUUUUGUAUAUUGUGAAAUUCUAUGAAAAUACAUUGAUAUAAUGAUUCUAAGAAUCUAAGGUAUAUAAGUAGUAUUCUCAAAAUCUUGUGUUAUGAGUUAAAUGGUGAAGAAUACAACUCCCAAUAACACCAACUUUAAUAGAUUUAAAGAAUCAUUAAAAUCUAGACUUUUUGAAUAACAAAAGAUUGUGUAUAGAAUUACUAAAUCAUGAAACCAAUAACACUAGAUUUUAAUGAGAAUGUGAGAAUGUGUAAACCAAUAACACUAGAUUCUAUAAAUUCUAACAAUCAUCAUAAAUCUAUAUGCAGCACUCGUUUGAGAUUUGUUUUUUUUUCUUUCACCCCUCUUUCUCUCUUCGCCGAAGAUCCUUUCUGAUCGUCAAAAUUCUCAGUAAGCAAAAAAAUUCUGGAUUUUAAUUUUCUCGACCAAUUCAGCUUUACAGUAACGAUCUCUCUGAAUUGAUGGCAGUGGAAUUUGAAUCCGAGGAUGCGGCCAAGAUGUUCUACGACGAUUACUCUAGAAGUUUAGGGUUUGUGAUGCGUGUAAUGUCUUGUCGGAGAUCCGAGAGAGAUGGCAGAAUCCUUGCCCGGAGAUUCGGUUGUAAUAAAGAAGGUCGAUGUGUUAGUGUCCGUGGCAAGUCUGGUUCUGUCAGGAAACCAAGACAGAGCACGAGAGGAGGACUUGUAAGGCUAUGUGAUUCAUGUUAAGUACGACCGGUCUGGUAACAUACUAAUUUCAAAAUGUUAUGAUUCUUUUUGCCAUAUAGUUUUAAUUUUCUACAUUUAAAAUGAAUAUUACCCAACUUUAAACAAACUUUCAAUCUGGUAAAUAUUGUUUAUUUUGUUCUAGAUCUUCUGUUAUAGAUAUUUAAAAACAUAUGCUAAGAUGAUUUCAUCUUAGACAUGUACUUAAAAAAUACAACAACAUUUUCUAUUAACACAAUGUCCGGGCUUGUUUUUACCUCUCAUACACAUUUGGUUACAUAGUGCGUCCGGAGUGGAAUAUCGUCGCACUACCCAAGUACACGGUGACAUGGAGCUGAUGCAAAUCUCUGACUUAAUUUCUCCAUAACCUAUUAUAGGAAUUCAAAUAAUUAAAUCAAAAUGUAUAUUAAUUAAUCAAAAUUUUCAACAUUGAGUUUAAAUAUAAACCAUUAUCCGGAGUAACAGCGCUACCUGUAGUAAGACAAUGAACAGAAGAUACGAUAAAAAUGAUGGUAAAAACAAAUGUGAUUAAAGUUUUUUUUGUGAUAGCCAUUUUUGAUCUCUAAAUAUUUGGAUUGUGUUUCAAAUAUUCUUUUUAACUUUUUAUGAUUUGU